RNAcentral lists this non-coding RNA (31 nucleotides) under Mus musculus (house mouse). The record is from RNAcentral. Lineage: Eukaryota; Metazoa; Chordata; Mammalia; Rodentia; Muridae.
CCUGAAUAUUGUAUGUGGGCUCACAAGCUGU